AAGAUGGCGACCGGCGCACGGGUGAGUAACACGUAUCCAACCUGCCGAUAACUCCGGAAUAGCCUUUCGAAAGAAAGAUUAAUACCGGAUGGCAUACGAAUAUCGCAUGAUAUUUUUAUUAAAGAAUUCGGUUAUCGAUGGGGAUGCGUUCCAUUAGUUUGUUGGCGGGGUAACGGCCCACCAAGACAACGAUGGAUAGGGGUUCUGAGAGGAAGGUCCCCCACAUUGGAACUGAGACACGGUCCAA
RNAcentral lists this ribosomal RNA (247 nucleotides) under uncultured bacterium. RNAcentral's name for it is "partial 16S ribosomal RNA". It matches the Rfam family "Bacterial small subunit ribosomal RNA", at positions 85 to 334 of the family's 1533-position model. The record is from RNAcentral.